GAAAAGUUUCGUGUUAAUCAUAUAUAUGAAAGUUGGCUAACUCUCUCCAAAUGAUUGACACAUCAUCAUUUUAGCAUUUGCCAUGUGUCUAUUAAGUAAUUAAUGUAAGCUCUUCAACUUCUAAUUUAUAAGUUAAUGAUAUAUUUAUUAUUUAAUUU
This 158-nucleotide small RNA is filed under the name Arabidopsis thaliana (thale cress). Its description in RNAcentral is "ATSL291940". Lineage: Eukaryota; Viridiplantae; Streptophyta; Magnoliopsida; Brassicales; Brassicaceae. The record is from RNAcentral.